RNAcentral lists this long non-coding RNA (4978 nucleotides) under Sus scrofa (pig). RNAcentral's name for it is "lncRNA (ENSSSCG00015060334.1)". Lineage: Eukaryota; Metazoa; Chordata; Mammalia; Artiodactyla; Suidae. The record is from RNAcentral.
AAAACUUUCAUCAGAACUUCAUAAAGUUCUCUAUCAUUAAGUUCUGAUACUUUUAAUUUGCUUUACAAAUAUUAAUUAAUUUUUAACUCAUGUCAAAAUAAUACAUGUACUCCGUCUAAAAAUUCAGGUAAUCCAGGAUAAUUUCCCUCUCUCUUUUUUUCUGUAAUAGUGGAUUUAUUCUUAAGGAAAACUUCUCAUAGCUUCAGAGGAAUGGUACCUGUAUUCGAUAACUAAAUUUGAGCCGUAUCUUCCAAACUCUUUUCAAAUGGAUAGAAAUCUUUGCUAUUAUAGAUGCUAAUAUGAAGCGUUUAUACUAGAAGAAAAAACUUGAAGUAACCAUAAAGUUAUAUUUGUCUAUGUAGCAUAAGCCUCUUUACCAAAGUUGUUCUGUGGUAACACAUUUUAAUGUAUUUGAUAGCUUCGUGUUUAAUCUUUGUGAUGAUUGAAGAAGACAUCUGCUAAUGUGGGGAAACGUUUUACUUUAAGGUAAACCGAAUCCUUUAUUCCAUCUACAAACCUAAUUCCUCUUUGCUUGUAAUAUAGUAUAGUCACAGGUUCAGGAUUAGGACAUAGCUAACUUUGGGAGCUAAUGGAUCUCACGGAGAAGCAUUUGUGUGCCAGUCUGACCACCUUGUGAGUGAGGUUCACUGGCUCAGAAGAUCAACCUGUGCAGAAAAACUCCAGUUAGCUCUUUAGAGCCUCACUAUUAUGUAUGAACUCACAGACAAGGAUCACCAGCUACCAGAAGACUAUUCAGAAGUGAGAGGGACACAUACAUGUAUACAAACAUGGAUCCACAUACCACACCGUAUCCCACCCACCCACACCUAUGCUUACAUCCUCCUCACCCCACACCUGGUCCUAUUGCACACACAACAGGGUGUCCAUGAGGCACAUCAGGCCAUUUUAGAAGGAGUAGAGCUCUCUCCCUCUUUUUCCCUAGAGUGAGAAUGGAAGAAAGGCCAGAUCCACUUAUUUAUUAAAGAACAGGUAAAGCUGAGCACCCAUCGGCCUAGGCAUCUGAGUCCUGUGCUCCUGGCCAGAUAGAAUAAAGUUUCUUGGAAGUCUAUGAAAGGAAUUUUCUGGCACUAGGUGAAGAAGUCUGGGGUGGAGUUGGAAUACCCUGGUCCGGUUGGGUACUGACAAAGGGCACAAGUCAGAAAAAACUGGGUUGUUAGGUAACAUAAGUGUGACUGGAGGAACAAGAUCACAUAUACGUAUAUAUUUCAUCCUGUUUCUCUCCCACUCUUCCCCUUCAUUCUUUUCUGCUUCCCAAAUUUGUUAUUUCUCUCUUCCCUCUGUGUAACCCUUUCCCUCACCCCUUUUUCCUCCAGUCUUCCCUGCAUAAUUUUCUUUCUCUCUGUUUGUGACUUAAAGUCUCCAUAUGAUGAUGAUAUACAGUUGUUUUAUAAAUAAAUGUAUACCAAAGUCAAUGUACCAUCCUCUUGGUUUUCCUGAAAAUUUGUCUGAUAGAAUAUUAUCAUUGCUGGCAUUCUAUUUGUUGUGCCUUCCCAAGAUUCCCAAGGAAUAUAGAAAACUUGGGAAAGACUUUUAGCAAAUGUAAGAAACUGCUUUCUUUUCAUAAUAGCCUUUCAUCAGAUAUACUCUGAGAAAUUGUGCAAUGGAAGAGGUGGACGUUUUGUUAUCUGCAAUCAAUAAACUUAAUUAAAACUUUCCAAAUACUCCUCAUUUUUGCCCUAGGAUAACAUAAUCUCUUGGUUGUAGACAUUUUGGCAGUUAUGGUGGCAUCAAUGAAUACUAAACACGAGUGGAGAGGUUAGGUUAGCUCAGAACAUUCUGCUCCCGUGUUGAUGAUUCAUACCUUAACGCCUGCCAAGAGGAAAGCUUUGAUCUCUGGUUUCCAAGCUAACCAUGUACUAGAAUCAUCAACAGAAGCCCAAAAGGCAAAGGGAGAAGGAUCACAAUUUACGAUUUCUCUUAAAAAUGAAAGUAAGAAAAUUAUGUUUCGCAAAUAUAUAGAUUUAGAUAUCUACAUGAUCAUGCCCAACUUGAUACUGAAGAAAAUAAACUUUCAUCAAAACUUCUUAAAAAUCUCUGCCAUUAAGUUCUUAUGCAUUUAAUUUGCUUCACAAUUUUUAAUUAAUUUUUCACUCGUGUCAAAAUAAUACACAUACACAAUCUAAGCAUUCAAAGAAGACUACAGAGUUUAUAAUGAAAAACAGUAUCUCUCAGUUCCACCUUGUCCCAUUCCUGAUUUCUAUUCCAAUUAUGGAACUAUUUAAUUCUUUUAGCUCAUUCUUCGGUUAUUUACCUCCAUCUUGCUCAAUAAAUAUUUGCAUUGCUAUUUCUUGAUCUUUCAAUUUUACUUGGUUGAUGUCUUACAAUAGAAAAUGAGGAUUUAAUUUUCUUACUCUCUGUCCCCUUUGCACAUGUACAUGUCCCCUCCUCCUUUAUUCUAAAUUUACUUAUGUCACAAGUUUGGCUAUAUCAAGAUUCAGAACUUACCAUGUUAUAACUAUAUCAAUAGACUUCACAUCUCAGCUACAUGGAAUCAUUGCAUUGUAUUUCUCAUCUAGCUUUUCUAUAUUAGUUGAAUUAACCAACACUUUUGUGGUUAUUUGCUUAGUUUUCAGUAUCUUAUCACUAAUUCACUUCCAAGCUCUCUAUCAAAUCUGUAAGAUUCCUCUCAGGAUAGUCAAGUAUAUCCCAAAAUAUAUUUAUAUUUUUUCAUUUUAUGGCAAAGCCAUCACCUCUAAAGCCUUCCAGCCUCCCUGAUAAACAGCUGUUUUCUUGGGCCUUCUUAACCUCAUUCUAAAAACAUCAUUUGCUUUUUUCCUACCUUGGAUCUUGCCUCUUGUAUUUGAAAUACUUGCCCUUUCUUAUUUUUUAUUUAUUCUACUUUUUUGAUGGAAAAGAGUUUUUAGCAAUUUUCUAAGAAAGAGUCUGCUACUGACUGAAUAUUUAAGGCCCCUCCAAAUUCACACUUCGAAGUCUAAUACCCAAUGUAAUAGUAUUUGGAGAUGAGCCUUUGGGAAGUGAUUAGAUCAUUUGGAUGGGAUUGAUUCCCUGAUAAAGAGGCCUCAGAGAGCUCCCUCAGCCCUUCCACCAUGUGAGGACCCUGUGACUGAACAGGGGAGCAGGCUCUGACCAGACACUAAAUCUAUGGGCACCUUGAUCUUGGAAUUCCCAGCCUGCAGAAUACGUGAAAUAAAUUUCUGUUGUUUAAGCCACUCCAUACCAUAGAUUUAUGGUAUUUUUGCUGCAGUAGCCCAAAUGGACUAAGACAGGGUAUGGGGAGGGGGUAAAAUGUUUGCAUAUAUACAAAAAUCUUUUUUCUACUCUCAUAUGUUAAUGAUAGUUUAUCUGGGUAUUCAGCAUAGAUUGGAAUUUAAAUUUUCCUCAGUAUUUUGAAAGCAUAUCUCCAAAAUUCUAGAUUUGGUUGAUGAAUUCUUUAUCACGCUAUUUUAAGUUGUUUGCAUGACAUCUUUGUUUUUGUUUGUUUAUCUGUUUGUUAUCUCAAGAAGCAUCAAGGAUGUCAGUGUUUUGAAACUCCCUAAUGCUGUGCUUUGAUGUGAGGUUUUUUUUUUUUUUUUCAUUCACAUAAAGGGCCUUUAGUAAAAUACUGAUCACAUAUAAGGCAUUACCAAUUACCAUGUGAAGGCAAUAAUAAAAAGACUUAACCUUAAUUGAUUAUAUGCUAAGCACUAUUCUAAAAAUGUUAUAACACACAUGAUUUCAUUUAUUUCUUUUUGUGUAUUUUUGUUUUUAUUGAGCUAUAAUUGACAUAUAAUAUUAUAAUAGUUUCAGGUGCAUAGCAUAAUAAUUCGCUAUUGGUAUAUAUUGUGAAAUUAUCACCACAAUCAGUAUAGUAAACAUGCAUCACCACAGAUAAUUACAAAUUUUUUUCUUGUGUUGAGAACUUUUAAGAUUUUCUCUCUUUGAAAUUUUCGAUAUAGAAUAUAGUAUUAUUAACUAUAGUCACCAUGCUGUACAUUAUAUCCCAUGAUAAUUUAUUUAUUUGAUAUCUAGAAGUCUGUAGCUUUUUAUCCCCUUCACCUAUUUGCCAACUCCUAACCCCCGACUUUGGCAACUAUCAAUUUGCUCUGUUUCUUUGAGUUUUGUUUUGCUUUAUUUGCAUUUUUUUAGAUUGUACAUAUAAAUGAGAUCACAAGGUAUUUGUCAUAUAUAUAUAUAUAUGUGUAUAUAUAUAUAUGUGUCUAUAUAUAUAUGUGUAUAUAUAUAUGUGUAUAUAUAUAUGUGUGUAUAUAUAUAUAUGUGUGUGUAUAUAUAUAUAUGUGUAUAUAUAUAUAUGUGUGUGUGUGUGUAUAUAUAUGUGUGUAUAUAUAUAUAUAUCCCCAUUUUCCUUUUCCAUUCAUCCAUCAAUGGACACUUAACAAAUUUACAACAGAGAAGCCAAGAAUAUACAAUGGGGAUAGGACAGUUUCUUCUUCAAGGACAAUCUAGUAUUAUUCUCUGUUUAUAUAUGAAAAAAAAAUGAAGCACUAAUGCUUAGGUAACUUGCAAAGUUAAUGCAAUGAGCAAAUUGCAGAACUAGUCUAUGAAGUAUUUUAGGAUUUUAGUCGUUACACUGCAGUGUCCACGACAAAAGACCAAAAUAUUAAUUAUAAGAAAAAUUACAGUCAUUUUUUAUGGUUAGGAAAAACAAAAAUAUAACUGAAAGAUAAUCAACGAGAAGUAUAUUAAAAAUGCAAAGUAUCAUUUAUUUAAAUAAUAGUUGGGGGAAAAAAAAAAUUGAGGAGUUCCCAUCUUGGCGCAUCGGAAACAAAUCCAACUGGGAACCAUGAGGUUGAGGGUUCGAUCCCUAGCCUUGCUCAAUGGUUUAAGGAUCCGGUGUUGCCAUGAGCUGUGGGGUAGGUCACAGACAUGGUUCAGAUCUGGUGUUGCUGUGGCUGUAGAUUAGGCCAACAGCAACAGCUCCAAUUUGACCCCUAGCCUGAGAACCUCCAUAUGCUGUGAGUGCAACCGUAAAAAGACAAAAAAAAAAAAAAAAAAAAAA